RNAcentral lists this transfer RNA (75 nucleotides) under Gammaproteobacteria bacterium. RNAcentral describes it as "tRNA-Arg". It matches the Rfam family "tRNA". From Rfam's summary of the family: Transfer RNA (tRNA) molecules are approximately 80 nucleotides in length. The record is from RNAcentral. Lineage: Bacteria; Pseudomonadati; Pseudomonadota; Gammaproteobacteria.
GGCUCCGUAGUUGAAUGGAUACAACGACCCCCUCCUAAGGGGUAGGUACAGGUUCGAUUCCUGUCGGGGCUACCA